RNAcentral lists this ribosomal RNA (407 nucleotides) under uncultured bacterium. RNAcentral's name for it is "partial 16S ribosomal RNA". It matches the Rfam family "Bacterial small subunit ribosomal RNA", at positions 28 to 526 of the family's 1533-position model. The record is from RNAcentral.
GACGAACGCUGGCGGCAGGCCUAACACAUGCAAGUCGAGCGGAGCGGCGGACGGGUGAGUAAUGCCUAGGAAUCUGCCUGGUAGUGGGGGAUAACGUCCGGACACGGGCGCUAAUACCGCAUCCUAUCAGAUGAGCCUAGGUCUGAUUCGGGAGUGGGUGGGGUAAAGGCCUACCAAGGCGACUAUCCGUAACUGGUCUGAGAGGAUGAUCAGUAACACUGGAACUGAGACAAGGUGCAGAAUCCUACGGGAGGCAGCAGUGGGGAAUAUUGGACAAUGGGCGAAAGCCUGAUCCAGCCAUGCGGCGUGUGUGAAGAAGGUCUUCGGUGUGUAAAGCACGUUAAGUUGGGAGGCGUUACCAACAGAAUAAGCACCGGCUAACUUCGUGCCAGCAGCCGCGGUAAUAC